UUAAGGUCAUAUAAUCUCUGUAUUAUUUUUCUUCCUUUUUAUCAUCCUAUUUAACUUUGUGAGUUUGGACAAGAUGGUUUGCAAUUAAUUCAUCUUUUCAUCUUAGUAAAUGCGCUGCUCUUGUGUGAUAAGGAUAAGGUAGGAUCUUUCAAUGUGGCUUUGCCUCUUGCUUUACUUUUUAGUUGAACUUGAUGUUUAUGAUAACAAGGAAAAGCUCCAAGAAAUUUACUUAUUUAUGUAAGUGAGGCUGGCAUCCAGUUGCAUUCAAGGAGAAAAGAAAGCAAGGUGCAUACUAGUACAAUGUAGGGAGUUGUGAAAAGGAUCUAUAAAACCAAUCCCAAUUCAUUUGGGAUUCAAGCUUAGUUGAGUUGA
RNAcentral lists this unclassified non-coding RNA (372 nucleotides) under Hevea brasiliensis (rubber tree). Lineage: Eukaryota; Viridiplantae; Streptophyta; Magnoliopsida; Malpighiales; Euphorbiaceae. The record is from RNAcentral.